Non-coding RNA from Pelodiscus sinensis (Chinese soft-shelled turtle), 424 nucleotides. The record is from RefSeq and is a predicted model, not a curated record. NCBI's taxonomy places the organism in Eukaryota, Metazoa, Chordata, Testudines, Trionychidae.
AACAGGAAAAGCAGAACGACACUGCAGUACGGCAUCCAGAAGAACUGAUGCUAAAGGGGAAGACAAAGGGAUAGUGCUCUCCUUGGAAUUCAGGGGCAUUGUGGAUAAAUGAGUGUGCAAAUUGCAAUGAGCUUCCCCGCUGAUUUGCUGAGUCACUGGUGGGCACGGUUUGGAAGAGGUGAAGGGGACUGGAAAAUGGAACAAACGUGCGGAUGGAACACGUGCCGGUCUGUAUCUUCAGGGGAGGCAGAGCCGUGUGGUCGCCGCUUUUGGCUGCAUUAAUGUUUGUGGAACCACUAGACUAUGUGAGUUCGCCUCAUAUCUUUGAAUACACCUGAUAUUACAAUAAGUUGGUUCCUCAGUAAGGAUGUAAAAUCCUGUUUUAACCAGUUAAAACUUGGGUUUAAUCAGUUAAUCGAUUCAG